Molecule: transfer RNA, 75 nt
Filed under: Caudoviricetes sp.
Lineage: Duplodnaviria; Heunggongvirae; Uroviricota; Caudoviricetes
Description: tRNA-Leu
Rfam family: tRNA
About the family: Transfer RNA (tRNA) molecules are approximately 80 nucleotides in length. Their secondary structure includes four short double-helical elements and three loops (D, anti-codon, and T loops).
Source: RNAcentral
GCAGACGGAAGCUGGGCGGGAACAGCUCCGGGCAGAGUUUCGGGUUCGUGGGUUCAAAUCCUACCGUCUGCGCCA